This is a non-coding RNA of Phrynosoma platyrhinos (Desert horned lizard), 72 nucleotides long. Lineage: Eukaryota; Metazoa; Chordata; Lepidosauria; Squamata; Phrynosomatidae. The record is from the annotation of a GenBank genome assembly.
GCCAGCAUGCCGUAGUGGUUUGAGAGUUGGACUAUGAUUCCAGAGACCAGGGUUUGAUUCCCAGCUCAGCUA